Molecule: ribosomal RNA, 602 nt
Filed under: Colletotrichum gloeosporioides
Lineage: Eukaryota; Fungi; Ascomycota; Sordariomycetes; Glomerellales; Glomerellaceae
Description: eukaryotic LSU rRNA
Rfam family: 5.8S ribosomal RNA (bases 229-382)
Source: RNAcentral
UGGAAGGUAAAAAUCGUAACAAGGUCUCCGUUGGUGAACCAGCGGAGGGAUCAUUACUGAGUUUACGCUCUACAACCCUUUGUGAACAUACCUACAACUGUUGCUUCGGCGGGUAGGGUCUCCGCGACCCUCCCGGCCUCCCGCCUCCGGGCGGGUCGGCGCCCGCCGGAGGAUAACCAAACUCUGAUUUAACGACGUUUCUUCUGAGUGGUACAAGCAAAUAAUCAAAACUUUUAACAACGGAUCUCUUGGUUCUGGCAUCGAUGAAGAACGCAGCGAAAUGCGAUAAGUAAUGUGAAUUGCAGAAUUCAGUGAAUCAUCGAAUCUUUGAACGCACAUUGCGCCCGCCAGCAUUCUGGCGGGCAUGCCUGUUCGAGCGUCAUUUCAACCCUCAAGCUCUGCUUGGUGUUGGGGCCCUACAGCCGAUGUAGGCCCUCAAAGGUAGUGGCGGACCCUCCCGGAGCCUCCUUUGCGUAGUAACUUUACGUCUCGCACUGGGAUCCGGAGGGACUCUUGCCGUAAAACCCCCCAAUUUCCAAAGGUUGACCUCGGAUCAGGUAGGAAUACCCGCUGAACUUAAGCAUAUCAAUAGGCCGGAGGAA